UACGAAGGGGGCUAGCGUUGCUCGGAAUCACUGGGCGUAAAGCGCACGUAGGCGGCUCUUUAAGUCAGGGGUGAAAUCCUGGAGCUCAACUCCAGAACUGCCUUCGAUACUGAGAGUCUUGAGUCCGGGAGAGGUGAGUGGAACUGCGAGUGUAGAGGUGAAAUUCGUAGAUAUUCGCAAGAACACCAGUGGCGAAGGCGGCUCACUGGCCCGGUACUGACGCUGAGGUGCGAAAGCGUGGGGAGCAAACAGG
RNAcentral lists this ribosomal RNA (253 nucleotides) under uncultured bacterium. RNAcentral's name for it is "partial 16S ribosomal RNA". It matches the Rfam family "Bacterial small subunit ribosomal RNA", at positions 524 to 776 of the family's 1533-position model. The record is from RNAcentral.